AAAGUCACUUUCCCUUCGGGGCAUUGGAGACAGGUGGUGCAUGGUUGUCGUCAGCUCGUGUCGUGAGAUGUUGGGUUAAGUCCCGCAACGAGCGCAACCCCUAUUUCCAGUAGCCAGCAAGAAAGAUGGGAACUCUGGAGAGACUGCCCGGGAUAACUGGGAGGAAGGCGGGGAUGACGUCAAAUCAUCAUGCCCCUUAUGAUCAGGGCUACACACGUGCUACAAUGGCGUAAACAAAGGGAAGCGAAGUGGUGACACGAAGCAAAUCCGAAAAACAACGUCUCAGUUCGGAUUGUAGUCUGCAACUCGACUACAUGAAGCUGGAAUCGCUAGUAAUCGCGAAUCAGAAUGUCGCGGUGAAUACGUUCCCGGGUCUUGUACACACCGCCCGUCACACCAUGGGAGUCGGAAAUGCCCGAAGUCAGUGACCCAACCGAGAGGAGGGAGCUGCCGAAGGUGGAGCCGGUAACUGGGGUGAAGUCGUAACAAGGUAGCCGUAUCGGAAGGUGCGGUUGGAUC
RNAcentral lists this ribosomal RNA (519 nucleotides) under uncultured bacterium. RNAcentral describes it as "bacterial SSU rRNA". It matches the Rfam family "Bacterial small subunit ribosomal RNA", at positions 1005 to 1524 of the family's 1533-position model. The record is from RNAcentral.